GGACGAACGCUGGCGGCGUGCUUAACCCAUGCAAGUCGAACGGAAAGGCCCUGCUUUUGUGGGGUGCUCGAGUGGCGAACGGGUGAGUAACACGGGAGUAACCUUCCCUUGACUUUGGGAUAACUUCCGGAAACUGGGGCUAAUACCGGAUAGGAGCUCCUGCUGCCUGGUGGGGGUUGGAAAGGUUCGGCGGUUGGGGAUGGACUCGCGGCUUAUCAGCUUGUUGGUGGGGUAGUGGCUUACCAAGGCUUUGACGGGUAGCCGGCCUGAGAGGGUGACCGGCCACAUUGGGACUGAGAUACGGACCAGACUCCUACGGGAGGCAGCAGUGGGGAAUAUUGCACAAUGGGCGGAAGCCUGAUGCAGCAACGCCGCGUGCGGGAUGACGGCCUUCGGGUUGUAAACCGCUGUCGCCUGUGACGAAGCGUGAGUGACGGUAAUGGGUAAAGAAGCACCGGCUAACUACGUG
Molecule: ribosomal RNA, 469 nt
Filed under: uncultured bacterium
Lineage: Bacteria
Description: partial 16S ribosomal RNA
Rfam family: Bacterial small subunit ribosomal RNA
Source: RNAcentral